Molecule: non-coding RNA, 55 nt
Organism: Danio rerio (zebrafish)
Lineage: Eukaryota; Metazoa; Chordata; Actinopteri; Cypriniformes; Danionidae
Source: Rfam
AACUAAAAAUACUGUAAAUUCGCUUUGGAUAAAAGCGUCUGCUAAAUGACUCUGG